UAUGUUUAACGGCCGCGGUAUCUUAACCGUGCGAAGGUAGCGCAAUCACUUGUCUUUUAAAUGGAGACCUGUAUGAAUGGCAUAACGAGGGCUUGACUGUCUCCUUUCUCAAGUCAAUGAAAUUGAUCUCCCCGUGCAGAAGCGGGGAUUAACACAUAAGACGAGAAGACCCUAUGGAGCUUUAGACACAAGACAGAUUAUCUUAAUCAACCCAAAAUAAAGGGCGGAACUAGAGAUAAACCUUUCCAGCGUCUUUGGUUGGGGCGACCGUGGGGUAAAACAAAACCCCCAUGAGGAAUAGGAGCACCCCUCCUUCAACCUAGAGCUCCCGCUCUAAGGAACAGAAAUUCUGACCAAUUAAUGAUCCGGCAUUGCCGAUCAACGAACCGAGUUACCCUAGGGAUAACAGCGCAAUCCCCUUUUAGAGCCCAUAUCGACAAGGGGGUUUACGACCUCGAUGUUGGAUCAGGACAUCCUAAUGGUGCAGCCGCUAUUAAGGGUUCGUUU
Molecule: ribosomal RNA, 507 nt
Filed under: Morone saxatilis (striped sea-bass)
Lineage: Eukaryota; Metazoa; Chordata; Actinopteri; Moronidae
Description: partial 16S ribosomal RNA
Rfam family: Bacterial large subunit ribosomal RNA
Source: RNAcentral